Long non-coding RNA from Zea mays, 687 nucleotides. RefSeq lists it as uncharacterized. The record is from RefSeq and is a predicted model, not a curated record. The transcript has 2 exons. NCBI's taxonomy places the organism in Eukaryota, Viridiplantae, Streptophyta, Magnoliopsida, Poales, Poaceae.
CUGUGUCUAUUUCAGUCGACUGAAAACAACUGUCACUGUUCCAGUUCCAUGCCACAUCCUCUUCAAACUUCACAUCUCUACUUAUGUAUAAUCUCUUAGUUGUAGGAUCAACCAUUCUGUAACCCUUUGUGCCUGAUUCAUAUCCUAGCAGAACCAUUUUAGUAGACCUGUCUGACAGCUUGUCGACUCCAGGACCUACCUUCUUGACAUGACCUAUGCAUCCAAAAGUUCUGAGAUGACCCACUUGUGGUUUACUGCCAUGCCAUGCCUCAUAUGGAGUUUUCCCUUGCACACUUCUUGGCAAUAUUAUAUAUGAGGAGGUACCUAGACCAUCUAAUCAGAUUCGUACACUAAUUAAUGCUAUUGGCUAUGUUAUUCCUUGGCCAAUUACACAUGUGAAGCAAGCUAGAAGCUCAUCUUGUACCCGCAACAAGUUGGUACCUGCAGCACGUGGACAAAGCUAGAUGGCGUGGACAAAGCUAGAUGGGAAGCCUAGUAUAAUUGCAAAGUGAAUCAGUUAGAUUCUAGUAGUUACUAAAAUUUUUAAGUGAUAUUUGUAUGAUAUUGCCACUUUGGCUUUGCUUCUUUGUGAACACAAUUGGCAGUUACUGAACAUGUUUGCUAUCGAGUUAGUUAGCUUCUUGAUAUUUUGCCAAGGCCAAAAGCAAUAUUAUUGAGGGUUUAUAA